GAUGAAGAACGUAGCGAAAUGCGAUAAGUAAUGUGAAUUGCAGAAUUCAGUGAAUCAUCGAAUCUUUGAACGCACAUUGCGCCCCCUGGUAUUCCGGGGGGCAUGCCUGUUCGAGCGUCAUUUCACCACUCAAGCCUCGCUUGGUAUUGGGCAUCGCGGUCCGCCGCGCGCCUCAAAUCGACCGGCUGGGUCUUCUGUCCCCUAAGCGUUGUGGAAACUAUUCGCUAAAGGGUGUUCGGGAGGCUACGCCGUAAAACAAGCCCAUUUCUAAGGUUGACCUCGGAUCAGGUAGGGAUACCCGCUGAACUUAAGCAUAUCAAUAAGCGGAGGA
RNAcentral lists this unclassified non-coding RNA (331 nucleotides) under soil metagenome. RNAcentral's name for it is "partial contains 5.8S ribosomal RNA, internal transcribed spacer 2, and large subunit ribosomal RNA". The stretch from base 1 to 120 matches the Rfam family "5.8S ribosomal RNA", at positions 35 to 154 of the family's 154-position model. The record is from RNAcentral.